GCGAGCGUUAGAAAUCUCUUAGCAACUUGUAGAGAUUUGCAGCAAAAGAAGAAUUUGGACAACCAUAGACCUAAGAAUGCUAUGUGUUCUAUAUCAGAAACUUCUUCAUCAUCAGCAUGAUAUAGAUUAAUGUAAGUACUGAAUGAAGCGUUCUUAACGUUGAAAUCAAUCAAGUUUUCACAGUCUUGGUAGGGGUCGAAGGUUUCUCCUGUCGGAGGAAGUCCAGCAAUGGCAGCUACGUCGAAAAGUGUGGGAGUCAUC
This 261-nucleotide long non-coding RNA is filed under the name Lathyrus oleraceus (garden pea). RNAcentral describes it as "Pisum sativum (pea) long non-coding RNA (PSAT_LNC023833)". The record is from RNAcentral. Lineage: Eukaryota; Viridiplantae; Streptophyta; Magnoliopsida; Fabales; Fabaceae.